RNAcentral lists this long non-coding RNA (1357 nucleotides) under Cyanistes caeruleus (blue tit). RNAcentral describes it as "lncRNA (ENSCCEG00000015283.1)". Lineage: Eukaryota; Metazoa; Chordata; Aves; Passeriformes; Paridae. The record is from RNAcentral.
UCCCUAGGUCAUGGAGGGCAUUGUAUGAGCAUUGCAUAAGUAUAAGAAAGCAUCUCUUUAAGAAGAAAUGACUGGUUGGAAGGGCCCAGUGAAUUCCCCACCCCACAGAGGUCUACAGUGCAGCAGUCACAAGGCAGCAAGUUAAACUGGAGCUUUGGACAGUGUUGUGUUGUGGAUUUGCAGUUUAGGCUCCGUCUCCUUUUGGAAGGGUCUGUUCUGCCCUGGAAGGGUGUCAGGCUUCUUGCCUCACUGCCACACUGUGGGAAUGUUGCUGAGGGGGUUCUGUGCCUCCCACCAUCUCUCCUGAGUAACCACAGCUCCAUGCUGGACGACUCGGCAAACCACCAGAGGAGGUAGAUCUCUGCUGCUGGAGCAUGUCCUGACAUCUGAGCACCAAGGAAGGGCCAUGAGGAUGCCAGGGGAACAUCCUCUCCGUGUCAGUGUUAAUGUCAGACCUCCUGAGGGACAGCUGCAUGUUUUUAGACACUUAGGGGCAUGCUGUCCCCUGCCAUAAUUUGGCACCAGUUGAGUGCAUUUGACUUAAGAUGGAUGAAAUGUAAAGACCUCCAGUUAGACAGCUGUUGGGGAACAGCUUGAGGAAGGGAUGGUUUUAUUUCAAGAUGCACACUUCUUUCAGCUUGUAAUUCAGCCUUUCGCUUGUUUGGUGGUGCUCAUCUGAUGCCAUUGGUUUUUACAGCCUCCCUGUGAAACACCACUGCUUCAGAAAUGCCCCUUUCUCUUCUCUCCCCACAUUUUCUUUGAAUUUUUUUGCUUUCCUAUAGAAUAACCAAAAAGUGCAUAGGGUAAAGUGCCUCUGGAAAGGCAGAGAAAGCAUGAAUCAAUAGAAUAACAGAGUGCAAGCUGAGCACAUCCUCUCUACCCAGCAAUGGAAGUCAAAUUUAUUUUAUUUUUUCUGUUCUUAUUUGGUCAUCAGAAGCAGCAGUAAAGUCAAGACCAUCUGUUUUGGAGAUGUGUGGUCAUUUCUGCUAGGAGAGAGUACCAGUGAGCCUGCAUGUCAGGGCAGGAAUAGACAGGAACUGGCCCUUGUGCCAAGACUUUCUUGGUAAUCCAAGGAAUUCACCCACAAAAAAAGCUAAAUUAGUUCAAACUAUAGUCCAGAGGGGCCCUGGCGUCCUCAAGCUAUAAACAGAGAAGAGAAAUGGAUCUGAUAAAAAGCCACAUUUCUGGUAGGCUUGGAGGAAUGCAGUGUGCUCAGUACACGAAGGGAAUCUGCAUGGCUGUGCACAGGUCUUUACUCUGGGGCCAUGCACUACUGGCUGAUUAAAUCUUUUACUCCUGCUGGUGAAUAAUUAUCCGCCUGACCUGCUCCACCGCAGGCAGCAAGAAUACCCCAUUA